GUCUGCUCCAGAUUUUGUCUGCUAUUUUUUGAAACUAAAAUCCGGGCAUCCGGUAGAGGCGCUGACUGUCCGCAUCAGUCAUAACAAUUCAUUGUUAGGACAUGGUUAGGACCUGGUGCAUCAUUUGGAAAAGACCAGCACAAUGCCAAAUCGUUGCUUUGUGCCCAAUUGCAAGACUGGUUAUCCAAGCAACAAACCAGCUUCUACACUAUCAUUGUUCGCACCACCCAAGGAUAAAGCUCUCUUCAAACAAUGGGAGCAAUACAUUCCUCGUAAGGAUAUAAAGCUAAAACCAUCAUCAAGAGUGUGUUCCAGACAUUUUGAAGAAGAUGACGUCAUUAAAGGACGCAUGAUAAAAGGGAAGGAUGGAAAAGAAAUUUUCCAUGCGUGGAAGAACUGGACCCUUAAAGAAGGAGCAAUUCCAAGAAUUUUUCAAGAUUGCCCGAGUCAUCUGACAAAGCCAAAACCAGCAGCCAAAAGAAAAUUACCAAAAAAUAGAGAGACUGCUGACGUUAGGAAGCAUAAGAAUGCUAAGCACCUGGAUGAGCCUCAAGAAGACAUUGAUGAUGUUUUCCAGAAUUGUGAAGGGAUGCCAUGGUUGUCUUUUAAUCCGAAAGACUGUCCAUUACCUCCAACUUGGUUUUGAAUUAAUUCCAAAGAUGAGUCUGCGGUCCCACUUUGUGUUCAGUUUGAACUCAUCCCGGGAGAAACAACUGAAUCAAAGUCGGUCCACUUGAAAGACGGGCAGGUUUUUUUGUCCUACAAUUCCAAAGUACUUUAUACUACGUUUCUAAAUCAAGAACAAAAUGACGAAACACUGUGCCAGCAGUUAGCAAGGAUUAUCAAGAAUUUCGACGAGGCGCACAAAUGCCACGGCAUAAGAGAAGGGCGGUUUGCCAUCAUUAAGUUUUGCACUGGAGCUGUCCUUCAAGAUGACACUUGGAGAUCAACCAACUGCAAAACCUUUUUCGACGUAAAUAAUAAGAAUUUCUAUGACCCAAGCUCUCAUUCCCUACCUGAGGACGUCUUCAAAUGGGUACAAAAAACCAUAGAGAUAGGAACACCGGUGUGUUCCGAGUGCUGCACGAUAAGGCGAGC
RNAcentral lists this long non-coding RNA (1098 nucleotides) under Daphnia magna. RNAcentral's name for it is "uncharacterized LOC123471066". The record is from RNAcentral. Lineage: Eukaryota; Metazoa; Arthropoda; Branchiopoda; Diplostraca; Daphniidae.